RNAcentral lists this ribosomal RNA (460 nucleotides) under Bacillus sp. DJ-E4. RNAcentral's name for it is "bacterial SSU rRNA". It matches the Rfam family "Bacterial small subunit ribosomal RNA", at positions 25 to 473 of the family's 1533-position model. RNAcentral also lists the same sequence under 1 other name. The record is from RNAcentral. Lineage: Bacteria; Bacillati; Bacillota; Bacilli; Caryophanales; Bacillaceae.
CAGGAUGAACGCUGGCGGCGUGCCUAAUACAUGCAAGUCGAGCGAAUGGAUUAAGAGCUUGCUCUUAUGAAGUUAGCGGCGGACGGGUGAGUAACACGUGGGUAACCUGCCCAUAAGACUGGGAUAACUCCGGGAAACCGGGGCUAAUACCGGAUAACAUUUUGAACCGCAUGGUUCGAAAUUGAAAGGCGGCUUCGGCUGUCACUUAUGGAUGGACCCGCGUCGCAUUAGCUAGUUGGUGAGGUAACGGCUCACCAAGGCAACGAUGCGUAGCCGACCUGAGAGGGUGAUCGGCCACACUGGGACUGAGACACGGCCCAGACUCCUACGGGAGGCAGCAGUAGGGAAUCUUCCGCAAUGGACGAAAGUCUGACGGAGCAACGCCGCGUGAGUGAUGAAGGCUUUCGGGUCGUAAAACUCUGUUGUUAGGGAAGAACAAGUGCUAGUUGAAUAAGCUGGC